Molecule: long non-coding RNA, 432 nt
Filed under: Rattus norvegicus (Norway rat)
Lineage: Eukaryota; Metazoa; Chordata; Mammalia; Rodentia; Muridae
Description: long non-coding RNA NONRATT015330
Source: RNAcentral
UACAUUAGGCAUAGGGCAUUGGGUGGAGUCACCUCACUCCUCAGUAAAUCUACCAAAUCAUUUCCUGAGGCCAGAUCCUCUUAGACACUCUCACCAGGUAAUGGCAGCUAUGUCCCAUCUUAGAACAAAUGGAAGAUGUCCCAAGAGAAAAAUGUUUGAGAAUAAAAGGGUCAACUCCUCUUCUGUGCCAAGUCUUACUCAUUGUUGACCUUAGAGAAUUUGAAUUGGACUUUUAUUUUACAGGAGUUCUGAUAAACUCCAUGGAACUACAGACUUUCUUCCUCAAAACAAUCAUUGUAUGUGUUGUAGGAUAUUGGCUGAACAAGACAGGUGUGGCCAGAGAUGAUUGGUAUGAGGCUGAGGACCUGAAAAGGAGCAAUGUAAAUGGGUACAGAAACAUCCCAGGCCCAAUAUUAGAACACAGCCAUGCCA